Molecule: ribosomal RNA, 465 nt
Filed under: uncultured bacterium
Lineage: Bacteria
Description: partial 16S ribosomal RNA
Rfam family: Bacterial small subunit ribosomal RNA
Source: RNAcentral
CCUACGGGAGGCUGCAGUAGGGAAUCUUCCACAAUGGGCGAAAGCCUGAUGGAGCAACGCCGCGUGGGUGAAGAAGGUCUUCGGAUCGUAAAACCCUGUUGUUAGAGAAGAAAGUGCGUGAGAGUAACUGUUCACGUUUCGACGUUAUCUAACCAGAAAGCCACGGCUAACUACGUGACAGCAGCCGCGGUAAUACGUAGGUGUCAAGCUUUAUCCGGAUUUAUUGGGGGGAAAGGUAACGCAGGUGGGCUUUUAAGUCUGAUGUGAAAUCCUUCGGCUUAACCGGAGUAGUGCAUUGGAAUCUGGGAGACUUGAGUGCAGAAGAGGAGAGUGGAACUACAUGUGUAGCGGUGAAAUGAGUAGAUAUAUGGAAGAACACCAGUGGCGAAAGCGGCUCUCUGGUCUGUAACUGACGCUGAGGUUCGAAAGCGUGGGUAGCAAACAGGAUUAGAUACCCCAGUAGUC